Molecule: ribosomal RNA, 492 nt
Filed under: uncultured bacterium
Lineage: Bacteria
Description: partial 16S ribosomal RNA
Rfam family: Bacterial small subunit ribosomal RNA
Source: RNAcentral
UGUGAACGCUGGCGGUAGGCCUAACACAUGCAAGUCGAACGGCAGCACAGUAAGAGCUUGCUCUUACGGGUGGCGAGUGGCGGACGGGUGAGGAAUACAUCGGAAUCUACUUUUUCGUGGGGGAUAACGUAGGGAAACUUACGCUAAUACCGCAUACGACCUACGGGUGAAAGCAGGGGAUCUUCGGACCUUGCGCGAUUGAAUGAGCCGAUGUCGGAUUAGCUAGUUGGCGGGGUAAAGGCCCACCAAGGCGACGAUCCGUAGCUGGUCUGAGAGGAUGAUCGGCCACACUGGAACUGAGACACGGUCCAGACUCCUACGGGAGGCAGCAGUGGGGAAUAUUGGACAAUGGGCGCAAGCCUGAUCCAGCCAUACCGCGUGGGUGAAGAAGGCCUUCGGGUUGUAAAGCCCUUUUGUUGGGAAAGAAAAGCAGCAGGUUAAUACCCCGCUGUUCUGACGGUACCCAAAGAAUAAGCACCGGCUAACUUCGUG